RNAcentral lists this ribosomal RNA (499 nucleotides) under uncultured bacterium. Its description in RNAcentral is "bacterial SSU rRNA". It matches the Rfam family "Bacterial small subunit ribosomal RNA", at positions 30 to 527 of the family's 1533-position model. The record is from RNAcentral.
AUUGAACGCUGGCGGAAUGCUUUACACAUGCAAGUCGAACGGUAGAGGGGGCAACCCCUUGAGAGUGGCGAACGGGUGAGUAAUAUAUCGGAACGUGCCCAGUCGUGGGGAUAACGUAGCGAAAGUUACGCUAAUACCGCAUACGAUCUAAGGAUGAAAGCGGGGGAUCGCAAGACCUCGCGCGAUUGGAGCGGCCGAUAUCAGAUUAGGUAGUUGGUGAGGUAAAGGCUCACCGAGCCAACGAUCUGUAGCUGGUCUGAGAGGACGACCAGCCACACUGGAACUGAGACACGGUCCAGACUCCUACGGGAGGCAGCAGUGGGGAAUUUUGGACAAUGGACGCAAGUCUGAUCCAGCCAUUCCGCGUGCAGGAUGAAGGCCCUCGGGUUGUAAACUGCUUUUGUACGGAACGAAAAGGUUUCUAUUAAUACUAGGAGCUCAUGACGGUACCGUAAGAAUAAGCACCGGCUAACUACGUGCCAGCAGCCGCGGUAAAGUG